This 547-nucleotide ribosomal RNA is filed under the name uncultured bacterium. RNAcentral describes it as "bacterial SSU rRNA". It matches the Rfam family "Bacterial small subunit ribosomal RNA", at positions 355 to 896 of the family's 1533-position model. The record is from RNAcentral.
UGGGGAAUAUUGCGCAAUGGGGGGAACCCUGACGCAGCCAUGCCGCGUGAAUGAAGAAGGCCUUAGGGUUGUAAAGUUCUUUCGGUAUUGAGGAAGGUUGAUGUGUUAAUAGCACAUCAAAUUGACGUUAAAUACAGAAGAAGCACCGGCUAACUCCGUGCCAGCAGCCGCGGUAAUACGGAGGGUGCGAGCGUUAAUCGGAAUAACUGGGCGUAAAGGGCACGCAGGCGGUUAUUUAAGUGAGGUGUGAAAGCCCCGGGCUUAACCUGGGAAUUGUAUUUCAGACUGGGUAACUAGAGUACUUUAGGGAGGGGUAGAAUUCCACGUGUAGCGGUGAAAUGCGUAGAGAUGUGGAGGAAUACCGAAGGCGAAGGCAGCCCCUUGGGAAUGUACUGACGCUCAUGUGCGAAAGCGUGGGGAGCAAACAGGAUUAGAUACCCUGGUAGUCCACGCUGUAAACGCUGUCGAUUUGGGGGUUGGGGUUUAACUCUGGCGCCCGUAGCUAACGUGAUAAAUCGACCGCCUGGGGAGUACGGCCGCAAGGUUA